CUCUUCUUGUUGUAAAUAUGAAGUAUAAUCUGCCCACUGAUAUAUAUUUGAAGGGCCGCGGUAUUUUGACCGUGCAAAGGUAGCAUAAUAAUUAGUCUUUUAAUUGUGGACUGGAAUGAAUGAUUGGACGAGGAAUAUACUGUUUCUUAUUAUAUUAUUGAAUUUAUUAUUUAAGUUAAAAACCUUAAAUAUUUUUAUGGGACGAGAAGACCCUAUAGAGUUUAUACUUAUUAUUUAUUUUGUUUGUUUGAUAAUUUAUUUAUUAUUUAAUAAGUUUUGUUGGGGUGAUAGAAAGAAUUAAUUAACUCUUUUUUAAUUAAUACAUUUAUUUAUGUUAAGUUGAUCCAUUUUAUAUUGAUUAUAAGAUUAAAUUACCUUAGGGAUAACAGCGUAAUCUUUUUUGAGAGUUCUUAUCGAUAAAUGGGUUUGCGA
RNAcentral lists this ribosomal RNA (432 nucleotides) under Neostylopyga rhombifolia (harlequin cockroach). Its description in RNAcentral is "partial 16S ribosomal RNA". The record is from RNAcentral. Lineage: Eukaryota; Metazoa; Arthropoda; Insecta; Blattodea; Blattidae.